Non-coding RNA from Triticum aestivum (bread wheat), 115 nucleotides. The record is from Rfam. Lineage: Eukaryota; Viridiplantae; Streptophyta; Magnoliopsida; Poales; Poaceae.
CUUAUACGCCCUCCGUUCGGAAUUACUUGUCUCGGAAAUGGAUUUAUCUAGAUGUAUUUUAGUUCUAGAUACAUCCAUUUCCGAGACAAGUAAUUCUGAAUGGAGGGAGUACCUU